This is a long non-coding RNA of Myzus persicae (green peach aphid), 454 nucleotides long. RefSeq lists it as uncharacterized. The record is from RefSeq and is a predicted model, not a curated record. The transcript has 3 exons. NCBI's taxonomy places the organism in Eukaryota, Metazoa, Arthropoda, Insecta, Hemiptera, Aphididae.
AAAUGUCACAGUAUACUGAAAACUACCAGCUGGAAAUGAAAUUAUUUUCCGUUUUCUGAAAUGCAUUUAGCGUGCGACCGACGAUUUGUAGAAAAUAGAAACGACGAGUUGUUUUCCGCACGAUGUAGUGACAAUCGCUAGUAGACAAGCAGAUCAUAAACGUUCACUGUUGCUCACAAAUGUGGGACCUUGGACCCCAGAUCCCAAAGUCCGAGUGAACUCAAGCGUCGACGGGCCGGUGAAUACUGCCAACUUGAAGAUCGGUAUAGCAUCUUGCUCUAAGUGUCGUCAUACUUGUGCCAUGGCGGGCUAUCCAAGCAGUGGAAAAAGGUUAAACAAAUUUUGGAUCUUAGAUCUAAUUAUCAAUUUAACAGGCAAUUAGUUUUAACAAUUAUUUAAUAUAAUGUAGUGAAAUUUAUAUUUCAUAACAAUAGCAUAAAAGUUGUGAAUAAUA